RNAcentral lists this ribosomal RNA (196 nucleotides) under uncultured bacterium. Its description in RNAcentral is "partial 16S ribosomal RNA". It matches the Rfam family "Bacterial small subunit ribosomal RNA", at positions 1307 to 1500 of the family's 1533-position model. The record is from RNAcentral.
GAAACUCGCCUACAUGAAGCUGGAGUUGCUAGUAAUCGCGAAUCAGCAUGUCGCGGUGAAUACGUUCCCGGGCCUUGUACACACCGCCCGUCACACCAUGAGAGUUGGCAAUACCCAACGUACGUGAUCUAACCCGCAAGGGAGGAAGCGUCCUAAGGUAGGGUCAGCGAUUGGGGUGAAGUCGUAACAAGGUAAC